AUCUUUUCCUGCCUCAAAACCAUCAUGACUGGGUUUUCACAUAUAUGUGUGAGAUGUGCCUCCCUCAGACCUUGUUAUGAUGUUAGAUCAUUACCUGUCUGAUU
This is a small nucleolar RNA of Callithrix jacchus (white-tufted-ear marmoset), 104 nucleotides long. NCBI's taxonomy places the organism in Eukaryota, Metazoa, Chordata, Mammalia, Primates, Cebidae. The record is from Ensembl.